Molecule: long non-coding RNA, 5550 nt
Filed under: Octopus sinensis (East Asian common octopus)
Lineage: Eukaryota; Metazoa; Mollusca; Cephalopoda; Octopoda; Octopodidae
Description: uncharacterized LOC118762907, transcript variant X1
Rfam family: mir-981 microRNA precursor family (bases 3050-3129)
Source: RNAcentral
CCUUCCUUCCUUACCCGGGGGUCGAGUGGGGGAAGAAAAAUAGUUGCACAAACUUAGCUGACACCUAAUCUGCUGGUAAUACGAUGACAGAGCAUUGAAGCUUUUUGUUCUCGAACAAGAAAAACCACGAAUCGAAUGUCCUACUGCACUUUAAAACACCAGCGCAGCAAUCGUUUUCCACCUCUCCGCCCCGAUUCACUCGGUCCGUCUCGGAAUCGGCGAAGUCGUCGUCGUCGUCGUCGUCGUGGUGAUCGUCGUCGUCGUCGUUCUAUCAGUCCGUCAAUCAGUCGGUUUGAAUUCGUUCGUUAGAAAUCACUCGUUCGCUCUGUCGUUCCAACAACAACAAUAACAACAACAACAACAACAGUCCGACGAAGACUAUUAUUAUUAUUAUUAUUUUAUGGGUUGUUUUUCUUUUUUUACGCUUUCUACCCGAUCUUCUAACUCGCCCACUCAAGAAGCCAUCACACGAAAUUACAGAAGAAGAAGAACAAGAAGGAACAAGAAGAAAAAGAAAAGACAAAAAUAACAAAAAAGAAAAAAAAAAGGAAAACACAGGAGUUUUAAACUAUUGAAAUCAUCUUCAAUUAUUAUACAUGUUCCGCAAAAGAACAGAACAAGCUGUUGCGGCCCACCAAGAGCUGUCGGGAAAACUGCUGAUACUAUCCGUUUAGCUGAUCUAUAACUACAAAUACGUUGUAUUCCAACAUUGAGUUUGGUCGGUACCGGUCCUCGCUUUUACAGCUUCUCCUCUCGAAUCAGAUGAUCGUCAAAAACAGCAAAAAGUCCUUCUAUUUUGUGGAGUAUUUCAAUAUCAAAUGAAAAAAGAAAAAAAAAUUAUUUAAUAUUUUUUUUUAAAAAAGUUUUAAAAAUUAUUCAAAAGAGAAGAAAAAAAUGUUUUAAACACUUUAAAAUUUCCAUGAACAGUGUAAAAGUGAAAGAUAUCUAAAAAAAAAAAAUACAUUUUGUCAAAUUUCCAUAGUCCACUUACUGGAAAUUUUGCAGUGAAAUUUUUGGAUUGCCGAAAUUUACCAACAUUCAGAAGAAGUUACCAAAGCUCAAUUAAAUUAGAUUUUCCGAAGAUUUUCGAAGAUUCUCUUCACCAUUCGUCAUAGGAGAAGGUUUUUAUUUUUUAUAUUUUUGUUUGCAUCAAUUCUAUUCGGUGAGAAGAGGAAACUCAAAAUGAUGGAGGAUGUUGAUCAAUGAUUUGCUGUGUAGUCAAGAAGAGGAGAAAACUUCCUAGAAGAAUGGUAUAAAGAAGAAAAGGAAGAAUUUUCAACAACUGAUAGAUUCCCAAGUACGAAUAAUUCAUGUGUAUUUAAGUCGUUUUCCGAAAAUUCUUCGUGGGUUUACUAUUGAAAGAAACCUCUGCUGUUUGAUCCUGGACGACGGACGUAUAUGUGGAAGAGACACUUAAUGAAUUAACCAAGUUUUUUUUUAUUGUUGUACAGUAAAGUAUAACGAUGAUGACUGUAAGUACUGCUGUGCUCCAUGUGUAAUACUAAGCGGUACCAUGGUCAUACAUUUGUACGAAUUUUUGUCAGGAGUUGUAGAGUCUGAGAUCAAUCUCGCCUCACUGCACCGUUAUGGAUUGAUGUAGCCCGUUGCUAUACAGAACAUUUCAAUGCUGCACGUUAGUAUGGAUUGUUAUAACCAACUGCUGCAUUAGGUAGAAACAGUCUGACCUUCACUGUAUGGGCAGUUGUUGACUUCGAUUAAUUCCUGUUCGGCCCGGUAUAGACUGUUGAAAUCGAUACAAUUUUAUCUACCCCGUUAAAAUUGGCCGCUGUAACAGAUCGAUACUGUCUCAACGAAAAUAACUAGGUGCGCAACAAAAACAUAACUUCAUAUUCGGAAAUCAGAAAUAGCUGCAUUUACAGGAAAAUCAGCCAAUCUCACAAAAGUAGUUGCAAACACGUGGUAAAAAUAGUAACGUAACACAAUACAAGACAGUUAUACGCACGACAUCAGAAUCAGUUAAAUAUCCGACAAUAAACUUCCAUACUCAACAAAAGCUGCAACCACACACUCACACGGGCACAGAAGCACAUAAGCACGCACACACGCACACACACACACACAACACACACAAAGCCACCACCAACAACAACAACAAAAGUAGUUACAUGCAGGAUAAAAAAAAACGAUCGCUUUAUGCAAGAUGAUAAAAUAGAUUCAUGGCAGUAUCGAUAGAAAUGAAAGCGUUUAGGGAUAAUAAUGAAAAGCAAAAACUACAUGUACGGGUUUAUGGUAAAUAGAAGUAGUAACAGAAACCAGAUUUGUUAAGGUCAGUCCGGUUUAUUUGUUUAAAAGAUUAAUUAUAAUUGAAAGUAUUGUACGUCAGUGAUUUUAGGUCCCAGCAAUGGGUAUAGUUCUUGAUUUUUUUAUAUACAGAAAUAUUUCAAUAAUUAAAACAGAACUGAGUUUGAAUUCCGUUAGAUGAAAAAUAAUUAUUAUUUUAAUUAUUAUCGGAGUAAUUACACAUGAAAGUCAUUAGUCCAGCAGUGGGUAUAGCUCUUGAUUACUUUAUACAGAAAUAUUUCAGCAAUAACUAUUGAACUGAGUUUAUAUUCUUUUAGAAUAGUUAUUUUUCUUAGUCUUUAAUCUAUUGUCUAUCGUUAAUGUUUAACAUGGUCUUCAUCCUUAUCGUACAUCAGUUUCAAAAAAACAUUGGAAUAAAGGCUUAGUAAAGACCUAUAAAUUCUUCCCAAAACUUGAGCCUUCCUUCAGUGUAAGUUGAACAUCUCUUAUGUAGACACCCAUAAAAUACUGCUUAAUUAUAGAAACAAUUAUUUGCACGAUCGAAUAAUAUCUUUGGAAUAGUCUUUAAAUAAUGAUCGCUUCCUAUAUUACACGCAGCAACGUUUGGUGAGAGCAAAAAUAUAAUUCCUUCAACAAGAACAGUUCAUACAGACAAACGAUACCGAAGAAAUUUCUCCUUUAUGAUUCGAUUGUUCGCAACAACAGACGGACCAAAUGUGUGUGCAUACCAAGAACACGAACGGCUGACAAUAGAAAAGAACAACUGGAUCUGCGCACGACAACGGUAAGCUAUUUUGACGGGUUUCGUGACAGACGAGCAUGAAAUAUGUAUUUGUUCGUUGUCGACGAAACCUGCCUGAAAUAGCCAACCAAGACACGAUUAAAAACAAACCAAGAGACCGAAUCUAAGAGCAGCCUAAGAUCACCAAACGAUGCCAACCAACGUUCAACUAUUAUCAUCUUUUGGAAUAAAAAGAAAAGAAUUAAAAAUUUAAAUUUAGAAGUAUUCAAAUUUUAGUUUGAUUUCUCACCACGUACAAAUGAAACGUUAAAAAUCAUUAUCAUUUUUUACGUGGUGAGCGCCAUAAUACAAACGGCAACCUGAGUCGUUUCACAGUUUCUCUCUUCGAUUGAAGAAUUAUUUCAUUUAUGUUCUUAUUACUAUUGAAGAAAAUCAUGAACAUCACAAUUUCCCAAUUUUCUUUUCCUUUGUAUCUAAGCAAAAUAAACCAAAACCUAACGCCAGUGUGUGUUAGUACAGCAUGAGGUAAGCCCCUUGCAAUUCGAGUCAGUCGCGCGUUUUUGAUUCUUUGUUUUUUUUAAAAAGCCAUUUUUUUGUUUUACACGGUGUGUGGUUUUUUGCAUGAGGGCCACAAGGGGAAUAUCAAGCAUGUGACAAAAUGUCUUGGUACUACGUUACUUCUGAGUUCAAUUUCAACCAUGAUUCACAUUACCUUUCAUCCCUUCAGGGUCAAUAAAAUAAGUACCAGUUGAGCACUGGGGUCGAUUUAAUUCACUUAUCUCCUCCCCUAAAACUGCUGGACUUGUGCCAAAAUUUGAAACCAUUAUUAUUAUUGUGAAGAAAGCGGUGAACAGGUGUUAGCGUGUCGAAAAAAUUCCUGUUGGCCUUUCUUCCAGUCCUUUAUAUUCUGGCCGCAAAUUCUACCGAAGUCGACUUUGCCUUUCAUCCUUCUGGGGUCCUUAAAACAGAGUACCAGUUUAGUUCUGGGGUAAAAUGAAUCGACUAACCUCUCCCACUAAAAUUCAUGAUUUUGUUCUAAAACUUGAAUCAAUUAUUAUUCUGAAAAACUGUACAUUGGCAGAAUCGUUAGUGCAUCGAAUAAAAUUCUUCCCAUUAUCAGAUUCUAUAAAAUACAGUUUCAAUCAAGUACUGGGUGGUUGUAAUCAAGUUAUACCUUAUCCACAAAGCCGUUGGCCGAAAUUACGAACAAUUUAGGGUGGUGGUUGGACAGAAUGGUCAGAGUGGCGGGAAAAUGCUCAGGCUUCGGUCAGCCUGAGGCUAUAGUAGAAAACACUUACCCAAGAUGCCACGUAAUGGAACUGAACCCGGAACCAUGUGGUUGGGAUGCAAGCUUCUUACCACACAGCCAGUCCUGCGCCUAUUAUAUAAAAAAACACAGAAAGCUAAGUUUAUAUACAUAACAUGCGAAAUCGCUCGGCCAGGAGGUCAAACUGUUGCGUUCACGAUCGUCAGAUUGUGGGUUCGAUUUCCGAACGGAGCAGUGCGUUGUGUUCUUGAGCAAAACACUUCAUUUCAUGUUGCCCCAGUCCACUCAGCUGUAAAUGGGCUCCCCUGCGACAGAAUAGCCUUCCGAUCAGGAGGUGGGGUUGUUGCCCUGCUUUCCUAGAGAGAGGGGUGGCAUUAUCCGAAAGCUACAGCAAUGCGAAGCGCAUUGUGACCGGCAAUGUAUAACAACAUCUGAUCGUCUGGUCGUCGAUUACGUGAUCACGUGAUAUGUGUAAUACAUUUGAGUGCCAGACUGAAUGCAUUGUAGAAUUUAAACAUGUUUUUUGAUGUGAUUUUAAAUCUAGCCAGCGUCCACUUCGCUUUUUCUACAUCCAGGGAGAGGGCUAAAAUAAAAACCAGUCUUCACUCAGUGGCCUGUCAGGAUAAAUUUGUUUAGCAUUUAUUUAAACAGUAUCAAGGCGAGUUUUAGCCCCAAGAAGUCUCAAUAGAACGGAUAUAAAAAAGGUGUUCCAACCGUGAUAAUAUUCUUAUUUUUAGAUAUUUUUAGUAUUGUGAUAUCUAUGUUCAUCGUUCUUUCUUAAAUUGUAGGCUAUGAUAUCAGGGGAUUUGGUUAGCGUUUCUAGCGGGUUGAGUGACUGCGUAUAGGCUCCGUCUUUGACUUGAAAUUAGUAUAAACGGUAGAACACCGCUCUAAAAGCUUUACAAAAUCCGUCCGUCCGUCUGUGUGUGUGUGUGUGUGUGUGUGUGUGUAUAGAUAGAUAGAUAGAUAAACAGAUAGAUGCAUACAUGUUUGACACAGUAAGUUUCCACUGUGUUCCGACAAGUGCUAUGUGAACACAGCUUCUAUUGCAAUAUUACAAUAUCAUAUAACUAUUGUGUUCAACUGUCUUUAUACAUGAUCUGAUAUUAGUUUAGGUCGUCCAUAACAUUCAUAGACAUUUGUUUAGUGGGAAAGACUUAUAAGCGACAUAAAUAAUUAAGUAAAAGCGGAAAACUCCAUACGCCGCCAUUUUCGGUUUCGACAUUUUUAUUCAUUGACUCGUUGUGCGUGUUAGAGAGAAUAUAUAUAUAACAUAUAU